Molecule: small RNA, 27 nt
Filed under: Bombyx mori (domestic silkworm)
Lineage: Eukaryota; Metazoa; Arthropoda; Insecta; Lepidoptera; Bombycidae
Description: ovarian small RNA-25021
Source: RNAcentral
UCACAGUAGUACAGGCGAUGCCUGCUG